UCUAGAAGUAAUUCUUCGAAAGUGGC
RNAcentral lists this small RNA (26 nucleotides) under Bombyx mori (domestic silkworm). RNAcentral's name for it is "ovarian small RNA-29472". Lineage: Eukaryota; Metazoa; Arthropoda; Insecta; Lepidoptera; Bombycidae. The record is from RNAcentral.